UACGUAGGUGGCAAGCGUUGUCCGGAAUUAUUGGGCGUAAAGCGCGCGCAGGCGGUUCUUUAAGUCUGAUGUGAAAGCCCACGGCUCAACCGUGGAGGGUCAUUGGAAACUGGAGAACUUGAGUACAGAAGAGGAAAGCGGAAUUCCACGUGUAGCGGUGAAAUGCGUAGAUAUCUGGAGGAAUACCGGUGGCGAAGGCGGCAUCCUGGACCGGCAUUGACGCUGAGGAGCGAAAGCCAGGGGAGCAAACGGG
Molecule: ribosomal RNA, 253 nt
Filed under: uncultured bacterium
Lineage: Bacteria
Description: partial 16S ribosomal RNA
Rfam family: Bacterial small subunit ribosomal RNA
Source: RNAcentral